This 440-nucleotide ribosomal RNA is filed under the name uncultured bacterium. Its description in RNAcentral is "bacterial SSU rRNA". It matches the Rfam family "Bacterial small subunit ribosomal RNA", at positions 360 to 793 of the family's 1533-position model. The record is from RNAcentral.
AAUAUUGCACAAUGGGCGCAAGCCUGAUGCAGCCAUGCCGCGUGUAUGAAGAAGGCCUUCGGGUUGUAAAGUACUUUCAGCAGUGAGGAAGGCGGAGUCGUUAAUAGCGGCCUCGUUUGACGUUAGCUGCAGAAGAAGCACCGGCUAACUCCGUGCCAGCAGCCGCGGUAAUACGGAGGGUGCGAGCGUUAAUCGGAAUUACUGGGCGUAAAGCGCAUGCAGGUGGUUUGUUAAGUCAGAUGUGAAAGCCCGGGGCUCAACCUCGGAAUUGCAUUUGAAACUGGCAGACUAGAGUACUGUAGAGGGGGUAGAAUUUCAGGUGUAGCGGUGAAAUGCGUAGAGAUCUGAAGGAAUACCGGUGGCGAAGGCGGCCCCCUGGACAGAUACUGACACUCAGAUGCGAAAGCGUGGGGAGCAAACAGGAUUAGAUACCCUGGUAG